This 250-nucleotide unclassified non-coding RNA is filed under the name uncultured fungus. RNAcentral's name for it is "sequence contains 5.8S rRNA gene". The stretch from base 1 to 53 matches the Rfam family "5.8S ribosomal RNA", at positions 102 to 154 of the family's 154-position model. Lineage: Eukaryota; Fungi. The record is from RNAcentral.
GAACGCACAUUGCGCCCAUUAGUAUUCUAGUGGGCAUGCCUGUUCGAGCGUCAUUUCAACCCUUAAGCCCUCGUUGCUUAGUGUUAGGAGCCUACAGCGAUGUAGCUCCCUAAAGUUAGUGGCGGAGUCGGUUCACACUCUAGGCGUAGUAAAUUUUAUCUCGUCUCUGUAGUUGGAUCGUCCCCUGCCGUAAAACACCCCAAUUUCUAAAGGUUGACCUCGGAUCAGGUAGGAAUACCCGCUGAACUUA